GGGGUUGUGACUCAGCAGUAGAGUGCUCACCUUGCACGUGUGAGACCCUGGGUUCGAUCCUCAGCACCA
This 69-nucleotide transfer RNA is filed under the name Ictidomys tridecemlineatus (thirteen-lined ground squirrel). RNAcentral describes it as "Spermophilus tridecemlineatus (thirteen-lined ground squirrel) tRNA". It matches the Rfam family "tRNA". From Rfam's summary of the family: Transfer RNA (tRNA) molecules are approximately 80 nucleotides in length. Their secondary structure includes four short double-helical elements and three loops (D, anti-codon, and T loops). Lineage: Eukaryota; Metazoa; Chordata; Mammalia; Rodentia; Sciuridae. The record is from Rfam by way of RNAcentral. RNAcentral also lists the same sequence under 1 other name.